UAUAAGCAACUUGUACUGUGAAACUGCGAAUGGCUCAUUAAAUCAGUUAUCGUUUAUUUGAUAGUACCUUACUACAUGGAUACCUGUGGUAAUUCUAGAGCUAAUACAUGCUAAAAACCCCGACUUCAGGAAGGGGUGUAUUUAUUAGAUAAAAAACCAACGCCCUUCGGGGCUCCUUGGUGAAUCAUAAUAACUUAACGAAUCGCAUGGCCUUGCGCCGGCGAUGGUUCAUUCAAAUUUCUGCCCUAUCAACUUUCGAUGGUAGGAUAGUGGCCUACCAUGGUGGCAACGGGUAACGGGGAAUUAGGGUUCGAUUCCGGAGAGGGAGCCUGAGAAACGGCUACCACAUCCAAGGAAGGCAGCAGGCGCGCAAAUUACCCAAUCCCGAUACGGGGAGGUAGUGACAAUAAAUACUGAUACGGGGCUCUUUUGGGUCUCGUAAUUGGAAUGAGAACAAUUUAAAUCCCUUAACGAGGAACAAUUGGAGGGCAAGUCUGGGCCAAG
RNAcentral lists this ribosomal RNA (504 nucleotides) under Penicillium sp. N37. RNAcentral describes it as "SSU rRNA". It matches the Rfam family "Eukaryotic small subunit ribosomal RNA", at positions 64 to 570 of the family's 1831-position model. Lineage: Eukaryota; Fungi; Ascomycota; Eurotiomycetes; Eurotiales; Aspergillaceae. The record is from RNAcentral.